AACAAUCUGGUUAUCAGAGCUUUGAAAGCUAACUCAAAGUCGUUCAAUUUGAGCUCCAAGAAAAUGACCGAGGUUCCCAAAUCGGUUUCGAGAUUAACAAAUAUUAUAACCCUUCAUUUGAACAAUAACUCUCUUACUUCUCUGCCUGUGGAACUGCAGACCUUACGAAACUUGACAGAACUCAAUUUGGGAAAUAAUUCUCUGGAGGAGAUCCCAGGUGUUCUGAGAAGGACUUGAUAACCUCACUCUCCUCAAUCUGAACCACAAUCACAUCACAGUCCUUCCACCAGAGAUAAAAAGUCUUUCUAACCUAGAAACCCUCAGCUUACUGGACAACCAGUUGGAGGAACUUCCUGUAGAAAUAGGUUUUCUCAAGAAGAUGGUUGAGAUGAAUUUAACGAACAACAAACUGUCCAGACUGCCCAAACAGAUAUACAGUUUGUCACAACUGGCCAGAUUAUAUCUGGCCAGAAACAACCUCACAGAACUGCCAGAGGGUGUUAUUGGGCUGAUGAAGCUCAGAGUGCUGGAUGUGGCUGGAAACCGUUUAUCCAUGUUUCCUGUCGACUUCCAGCUUCUGAGCCUGAAUGAGCUGCUCUGCGAAGGAAACACAUUUGUGAAGAAUAAGCUGAUGGAAUCUGUUCAAGCUGUGGAGGUGCUGUCAUUGAAGG
Molecule: long non-coding RNA, 671 nt
Organism: Oncorhynchus gorbuscha (pink salmon)
Lineage: Eukaryota; Metazoa; Chordata; Actinopteri; Salmoniformes; Salmonidae
Exons: 6
Source: RefSeq, a predicted model, not a curated record